Molecule: ribosomal RNA, 108 nt
Filed under: uncultured bacterium
Lineage: Bacteria
Description: partial 16S ribosomal RNA
Rfam family: Bacterial small subunit ribosomal RNA
Source: RNAcentral
CGUGGGGGGAGUGAAGCAUUUCGGUGUGUAAACCCCUUUCGACCGGGAAGGAAUGCCUCGCAAGAGGAGUGACGGUACCGGUAUAAGAAGCCCCGGCUAACUACGUGC